Lolium rigidum is the source of this 1303-nucleotide RNA transcript. RefSeq lists it as uncharacterized. The transcript is spliced from 3 exons. The record is from RefSeq and is a predicted model, not a curated record. NCBI's taxonomy places the organism in Eukaryota, Viridiplantae, Streptophyta, Magnoliopsida, Poales, Poaceae.
GGCCCCUCCCUCCGUCACAGCCGCCGCCGCCCCCUCCUUCAAGGAUCAGGAUAAGGAUCAGAUGAUCAUGUCUUCACUAAAUUACUGUACGGUGAAUUGUGAUAACCUUCCUCUAUCUAUGACCAGUACUAUUGCUGAAUUGAACCAUCAUUCCUUGACCUUCCGAUUUUAAGAUUUAAUAUUGAUGUACAGUACAGUUAUCAACCAGCUAUUCCCCAAAUGUGGGGUUCUAGAUGUGAUGUACAUCUCUGUUUGAUCUUUGUGGAUUUUCAUUAAGAAAAGCUUGACACUUCUAACGUAUUCUAGUGGUGGCUCUCCAAGUGUGAGACCUGUUUAGCAUUCUAGCUUUGAGUUACAUUGUUUCCUGAUGCAUGAAACCUUUUGCCCCUGUAAUAGUUAUGUAAUGGCAGAGCUUUUGGAAGGAGUGGUGGCAUAUUAUAAUGGUUAUAAUGGUGUCUCGUGAUUCUCUUAGUUCGGCACAAUCUAAAUUCAUGCUGGUAUAUAUGUUCGCUUUCAUUAUUUUGUAACGUAUUGAAUACUACUCUGCACAUUAACCUUAGUACCAUAUCAUGUGUUGUUCCUAAAUGUUAGAUUUAUAUUUUUGCUGAAUGCAUGUCUUCUUAGCUGCAAGUAUCAGACGAAGGUAACAAUGUUAAUGGGCUACAAGGAACAACAAUGUAGAAGCUGGUUACCAUGAUGAAGUGAUGAUCGAUGUAGCAGAUGUGAGUGAGGAAGAAGCAAGUGCAAGCCAUGGUGCCCAGCCCGCUGCAACGCCGCCGCUCUUCUCGCUACCGGGAUCAGAGUCGACGGCCAUAGUCACCUAUCGCCUGUUGGAUCGUACGCCACUGCGUCAACUCUCAAGAGCCAGUUUGGAUUCGAUGGUCAUGUCAGCCCGCAGCAGUACGCUACUGUGGCACAUGCGCAUGGCGUUGGUUGAUUCCUACGACUUGGCGGCUCGUCAUCUGGUACAAGUACUCACAUCAUGGCACGGAGGCACCAAAUUUGGUUGAUCCACUUGAUCUCGUUACUAAAGGAAGCUCGAAGUUGCCGACAGUGACAAUAUUCUGACAGCAUCUAUCGUGCAUCGCCCAUGAAUGUUCUGUGCAUUGUGUGCCACUCACUAGAUGUUGUUUCAUUAAGCAAGAUGACACUCAGGAUCUCAACUCAAGUAGCUGCGGAUAGUGAUGCUUUCUUCUUUUUUUUCUUAAGAAUUUGUCUUCCCCUAUUUAAGGUGGGUCUUGAUAUUGUACAAAUGAAAUUAACGUACAGCGUGUGAAUAUAACUUUGGCAUUUGCAGUGUUGU